RNAcentral lists this ribosomal RNA (469 nucleotides) under uncultured bacterium. RNAcentral describes it as "partial 16S ribosomal RNA". It matches the Rfam family "Bacterial small subunit ribosomal RNA", at positions 28 to 507 of the family's 1533-position model. The record is from RNAcentral.
GACGAACGCUGGCGGCGUGCUUAACACAUGCAAGUCGAACGGAAAGGCCCUGCUUGCAGGGUGCUCGAGUGGCGAACGGGUGAGUAACACGUGGGUGAUCUGCCCCUUGCUUUGGGUUACGCCUGGGAAACUGGGUCUAAUACUGGAUAGGACCGUGCUGUAGAGGGUGUGGUGGAAAGACUAGUCGCGGUAAGGGAUGAGCUCGUGGCCUAUCCGCUUUUUGGUGGGGUAAUGGCCUACCAAGGCGUCGACGGGUAGCCGGCCUGAGAGGGUGGACGGCCACGUUGGGACUGCGAUAGGGCGCAGACUCCUGCGGGAGUCAGCAGUGGGGCAAAUUCCACAAUGGGCGCAAGCCUGAUGGAGCGACGGCGCGUGGGGGAUGAAGGCCUUCUGGUUGGAAAGUACUUGCAGCCAUGAAGAAGCCCUUGUGGUGACGGUAGUGGUAGAAGAAGCACCGGCUAACUACGUG